GCUCCACCGAAAGAAAAAGAGUGGCGAACGGGUGAGUAACACGUGGGUAACCUGCCCAUCAGAAGGGGAUAACACUUGGAAACAGGUGCUAAUACCGUAUAACACUAUUUUCCGCAUGGAAGAAAGUUGAAAGGCGCUUUUGCGUCGCUGAUGGAUGGACCCGCGGUGCAUUAGCUAGUUGGUGAGGUAACGGCUCACCAAGGCCACGAUGCAUAGCCGACCUGAGAGGGUGAUCGGCCACACUGGGACUGAGACACGGCCCAGACUCCUACGGGAGGCAGCAGUAGGGAAUCUUCGGCAAUGGACGAAAGUCUGACCGAGCAACGCCGCGUGAGUGAAGAAGGUUUUCGGAUCGUAAAACUCUGUUGUUAGAGAAGAACAAGGACGUUAGUAACUGAACGUCCCCUGACGGUAUCUAACCAGAAAGCCACGGCUAACUACGUGCCAGCAGCCGCGGUAAUACGUAGGUGGCAAGCGUUGUCCGGAUUUAUUGGGCGUAAAGCGAGCGCAGGCGGUUUCUUAAGUCUGAUGUGAAAGCCCCCGGCUCAACCGGGGAGGGUCAUUGGAAACUGGGAGACUUGAGUGCAGAAGAGGAGAGUGGAAUUCCAUGUGUAGCGGUGAAAUGCGUAGAUAUAUGGAGGAACACCAGUGGCGAAGGCGGCUCU
This 665-nucleotide ribosomal RNA is filed under the name uncultured Bacilli bacterium. Its description in RNAcentral is "bacterial SSU rRNA". It matches the Rfam family "Bacterial small subunit ribosomal RNA", at positions 75 to 728 of the family's 1533-position model. Lineage: Bacteria; Bacillati; Bacillota; Bacilli. The record is from RNAcentral.